AGUGAACGCUGGCGGUAGGCCUAACACAUGCAAGUCGAACGGCAGCACAGUAAGAGCUUGCUCUUACGGGUGGCGAGUGGCGGACGGGUGAGGAAUACAUCGGAAUCUACUUUUUCGUGGGGGAUAACGUAGGGAAACUUACGCUAAUACCGCAUACGACCUACGGGUGAAAGCAGUGGAUCUUCGGACCUUGCGCGAUUGAAUGAGCCGAUGUCGGAUUAGCUAGUUGGCGGGGUAAAGGCCCACCAAGGCGACGAUCCGUAGCUGGUCUGAGAGGAUGAUAGGCCGCACUGGAGCGGGGACACGGUCCAGAGUCCUACGGGAGGGAGCAGUGGGGAAUAUUGGACAAAGGGCGCAAGCCUGAUCCAGCCAGACCGCGUGGGUGAAGGAGGCCUUCGGGUUGUAAAGCCCUUCUGUUGGGAAAGAACAGCAGCAGGUUAAUACCCCGCUGUUCUGACGGUACCCAAAGAAUAAGCACCGGCUAACUUCGUG
This 492-nucleotide ribosomal RNA is filed under the name uncultured bacterium. RNAcentral's name for it is "partial 16S ribosomal RNA". It matches the Rfam family "Bacterial small subunit ribosomal RNA", at positions 29 to 507 of the family's 1533-position model. The record is from RNAcentral.